Non-coding RNA from Phrynosoma platyrhinos (Desert horned lizard), 72 nucleotides. The record is from the annotation of a GenBank genome assembly. Lineage: Eukaryota; Metazoa; Chordata; Lepidosauria; Squamata; Phrynosomatidae.
GCUAGGGUAGUGUAGUGGCUUGAGCACUGGACUACAACUCUGGAGACCAGGGUUUGAAUCCCUUCUCGGCCA